Molecule: small RNA, 539 nt
Filed under: Pongo abelii (Sumatran orangutan)
Lineage: Eukaryota; Metazoa; Chordata; Mammalia; Primates; Hominidae
Description: processed transcript
Source: RNAcentral
UCUGACAAGAUGCAGUGUAAAACAUUAAUUCUACUCUAUUAACUUUAAAAUGUGGUAUCCUCUCAUUUUGUUACUUAGUACCUGAGGAAAUCAGUUAAUUUUUCAUCAGAUUCCUGGAUAAAUAGGGAUAGUGUAUACCAUUCCUUCUGAAGAUCUUAUUGCAGCAGAAGAGGAUGAAACACAAAACCAGCAUGAUGAUAGUUCCUCCGAUUCAGGAACUCCUUCAGGCCCAGAUUUUAAUUAUAUUUUAAAUAUGUCUCUGUGGUCUCUUACUAAAGAAAAAGUUGAAGAACUGAUUAAACAGAGAGAUGCAAAAGGGCGAGAUGUCAAUGAUCUUAAAAGAAAAUCUCCUUCAGAUCUUUGGAAAGAAGAUUUAGCAGCAUUUGUUGAAGAAUUGGAUAAAGUGGAAUCUCAAGAACGAGAAGAUAUUCUGGCUGGAAUGUCUGGAAAAGCAAUUAAAGGUAAAGUUGGCAAACCUAAGGUGAAGAAACUCCAGUUGGAAGAGACAAUGCCCUCACCUUAUGGCAGAAGAAUAAUUC